GAUGAACACUGGCGGCGUGCCUAAUACAUGCAAGACGAGCGAAUGGAUUAAGAGCUUGCUCUUAUGAAGUUAGCGGCGGACGGGUGAGUAACACGUGGGUAACCUGCCCAUAAGACUGGGAUAACUCCGGGAAACCGGGGCUAAUACCGGAUAAUAUUUUGAACUGCAUGGUUCAAAAUUGAAAGGCGGCUUCGGCUGUCACUUAUGGAUGGACCCGCGUCGCAUUAGCUAGUUGGUGAGGUAACGGCUCACCAAGGCAACGAUGCGUAGCCGACCUGAGAGGGUGAUCGGCCACACUGGGACUGGGACACGACCAAGACUCCUACGGGAGGCAGCAGUAGGGAAUCUUCCGCAAUGGACGAAAGUCUGACGGAGCAACGCCGCGUGAGUGAUGAAGGCUUUCGGGUCGUAAAACUCUGUUGUUAGGGAAGAACAAGUGCUAGUUGAAUAAGCUGGCACCUUGACGGUACCUAACCAGAAAGCCACGGCUAACUACGUGCCAGCCGCCGCGGUAA
RNAcentral lists this ribosomal RNA (515 nucleotides) under uncultured bacterium. RNAcentral describes it as "partial 16S ribosomal RNA". It matches the Rfam family "Bacterial small subunit ribosomal RNA", at positions 28 to 523 of the family's 1533-position model. The record is from RNAcentral.